GACGAACGCUGGCGGCGUGCUUAACACAUGCAAGUCGAACGGAAAGGCCCUGCUUUUGUGGGGUGCUCGAGUGGCGAACGGGUGAGUAACACGUGAGUAACCUGCCCUUGACUUUGGGAUAACUUCAGGAAACUGGGGCUAAUACCGGAUAGGAGCUCCUGCUGCAUGGUGGUGGUUGGAAAGUUUCGGCGGUUGGGGAUGGACUCGCGGCUUAUCAGCUUGUAGGUGGGGUAGUUGCUUACCAAGGCUUUGACGGGUAGCCGGCCUGAGAGGGUGACCGGCCACAUUGGGACUGAGAUACGGCCCAGACUCCUACGGGAGGCAGCAGUGGGGAAUAUUGCACAAUGGGCGGAAGCCUGAUGCAGCAACGCCGCGUGCGGGAUGACGGCCUUCGGGUUGUAAACCGAUUUCGCCUGUGACGAAGCGUGAGUGACGGUAAUGGGUAAAGAAGCACCGGCUAACUACGUG
This 468-nucleotide ribosomal RNA is filed under the name uncultured bacterium. RNAcentral's name for it is "partial 16S ribosomal RNA". It matches the Rfam family "Bacterial small subunit ribosomal RNA", at positions 28 to 507 of the family's 1533-position model. The record is from RNAcentral.